AGUUUAUUCAAAGUUUAUUUAAAACUUAAAUUAAAUUUAUGGAUUCAAAUUAAAAUUUAAAUUGUAAUUUUAAAUUUGAAUUUGAAUAAAAUCGAAAUUUACUUUUAUAUUUCGAAUUAUCCACUCAACUUCAAAGUUUAUUUUUUUUUAAAAAAAUAUAGAUUUUAAAAUUUGACAUUAUUUCAAAAUUUUGAUGUAAAUUUUUAAUUUUUAAUUUUUAAUUUGAAUUAAAUUAAUAUAUUAUAAAGAUAAAGUUAAUAUAUUAAUCUGAUUACAUUUUUUAUAUUUACCCGAACCAAACACCGACAAUGAGAAUGAUUUAUUCCGAUUCCGAUUUAGGUGAUGAAACAGACAGAAGUAGGUAAUUAGUCAUUCCGAUUCCGAUUCCAGCUUAUUUCGAUUCCGAUUCUGAUUUCGAUUCCGACUUCGAACCAAACACGCCCUAUAAUUCUUCAUAUAAGGGUCAAAAGUCGAAAUCAGUAACUCCUUUAUACUUCCCUAAAUAUAGUAACUCUAGAGUGAGGCUACUAUACUUCUGGAAGCACGGAGCCUUCCGUGCUUCCAGGUUGUUUUCGAUAUUGUGACUUUCGAAUCAUCGAUCGGCUCCAUUAAACUUGAUCUAGAGUAUUUGAAGUACUUAGAAAAUAAAUUUUAUGAUUUUUCGAUAUCAUUUGCCCAGUAAUCGAAAGGACUCAAAAUCAAUAAUUUUAAUGACCGUGGUGAGCCGUUUGCAAGUUUAACGGUGUAGAAAUAUCCAAAUCACGUGAAAUUUUGAUAGAAAAUUCUUUAAACUAUAUAAAACAAGAUCAAUAUUUUUGAUUUAAAAUUUUAAUGUCAUGUUAUCACGUUUUGUAAGAUUUUUAUUUUCAGCCGUUGAUUUUGAAACCCUUAGUUCACUAGGCAAAUGAUAUCGAAAAAUUGUAAAAUUUAUUUUCUAGGUACUUCAAAUACUCUAGAUCAAGUUUAAUAGAGCCGAUCGACGAUUUGAAAGUCGCAACAUAAAAAACUAUCUGAAAGCACGGAAGGCUCCGUGCUUCCAGAAGCAUAGUAAGUUCGUGAAAAUAUUAUGUCUAGUUUGAGAUA
This 1083-nucleotide long non-coding RNA is filed under the name Ananas comosus (pineapple). RNAcentral's name for it is "long non-coding RNA (ACOM_LNC004290)". Lineage: Eukaryota; Viridiplantae; Streptophyta; Magnoliopsida; Poales; Bromeliaceae. The record is from RNAcentral.